UCUGUAUUUGGGUUUGCACUCAUGAAACACCUGCAGACAAACCUUUCAGGUGUAGGAAGCACUGACUUCUUCAUUACGUUCAGCUGGGUUGUGGGCAAUGAGCAGGAGGUGUGUCAUGAGGUUUUCCAAGCAGCUUACUCAAACUGGAAAGCAGAAGAGAUGAACUUGGAUGUUUUGUCAGACGACUCUUCUCAAGGACAUGGAGUGGGAUCCUCACAACGUGAUUUCACCACGGGAGAGUGGGUGCUAAUACUCCUCUUUGCCAGUAAGGCCUUCUUAGACUUCCAAAAUGUUCUAAAGGUCUCACAGAACACAAUCUCUACACAAAAUCAGGAACAUCCCGGCGCUGGAAAUCAUUUGUGUUGCAUCGCUGACCUCCAGCAGUUGCUCUGAAAAACUUUCCAUCCAAAGCAGAGGUAAAUGUGUCUCUAAUACCCUCUUCAAAGUGAGUUUGUUGGGAGUUUGUGAAUCAAAAAAGAGCAAGCAGCAUGGAAUUCCUGUUUGGCAUCUGAGGCGGCUUAUAAGUGGAAGAAGCAAGUUCAUUUUUAGUUACAGGUGGGUGGUUGCUUUUCCCCCUCGUGCCAGCGACUUAGCACUACAGCUCCCUGGUGCUGCAAAAUACCAACCAGCACAACCUUCCCUGCUCUCCAGACGUGCCUCCACUAGAUGACAGUGUUGUACAAAGCUAGACUGAGAAGGCUCGUGCCCAGUCCUGCAGCCCUGGGUGCUUCGCUCAUGAUACUGGGAGCACAAACAGGUCUGUCUCCUGUAUGAAAUAGGUGCUUGGUGGAUCGGCUGUCUAACUGCACAGGGAGAUGCUGUGAAUGAGAAGACACCGAGAAGUGCUGUGAAUGUGUCAGCUGGUUGUUCUGGGAUUACAAACAGGAUUCAGGAUUCCCACAUGUCAAUGGAAAUGUCUACAUGGGGAGGACGGAGUUUCAACUUUGCUGUGAUACCUGUAGCAGCAGUUCCGAGUGUACAGCUUGGAACAGCAGACUUCUCUGAUUUCCCCCCAUAUAUAUAUAUCUAUGCUAUAGAUAUAUAUAUACACACACAUAAUUAUCAUUGCUUACAGGUAGCUCAAAGACUGGAAUGAAGUCUGUUGUUUUGAAAACACAGAAGUUUUCCUCCUGGGAGCAUGAAUUAGAAUAUUAAGCGGAUGUGGCACCCCAGGUAUUAGGGAGGAGUAUUGCCCAUGUUCUCACGUGGGGAAUGGGAUCCAGUGGCCAAGACUGGAAUAUUGGCUGCUAGUCCAGUGAGGAGAAAAACAGAUUAGAAUUUAUUUUGCAUUUUUUUUUCCCCCAGUUAUGUCAAUUCCCUUUUCCUUUGACAUGCUGUUUCUCUCGUUUCUGGACAGAUAGUGGAGAUUUCAUAUAGCAGCGAACAAAACAAAUCAAGUUGAUUGGGAGCUUCUACCUUCUGUCUCAGGGCUUAAGAACAAACAUACGGAUAAUUUUCUGAAAGUCAACAAGUUUGUAGUGGAUAAAAGAAAAUACUUUCAGCCCCCCUAAAACAAAGGUCUUAAUUACAUGUAUACUGUGUGGAAAAUGUUGCAGAGGAUAUUCCGUGUUGCCAGGCUUGUUUCAAGACAUUUGGGAUAAAUUACUCUAUAAAAGAAAAUUUUACAGCUGCUUUACGUUUUGUUUAAGCUUUUAAGAGUAAAGACUUUGUAAAAGCUGUCUUCCUGGAGCAUACAUGUGUGGAAUGAUGUGAUUCUGUCUGACCCAAGUAUUUUCUUCCCACCUCAUGCCUGUUCUGUUGUUUGUAUAUUUGGAAGCUUAAGUACAGAGAGCCUGGAUGACAACACAAACAUAAAUGCUUUGGCUGUGGUAUGGGAAAUGGCACCUGGUCCAUUGAUUGUCUGUGGCUUUGCAGAGUGCAGCUGAAGCAUAUAUCAGGGUGAUGCUGCUGCAGUCUGCAGUAACAGGUGCAGUGUAUGGUUUGUGUGCCUUGGAAAGGGACCCUUCCACCUGCACUGUCACAUUUCCCUCCUCUUUAAGUCUUUUCCCAUGUUCCCUAUGGGCAGUUGGAUGGUGGUUCAAUGCAGUUUCCUGAUGUGUUGAUCAACACAAAGCCCAGAAAACACUUGUGGUAUUCCUGUGCCAUUCUCUGUGGCACAGCCAUUCCCACUGCUUUUUAUGGGGUUUCCUCCUGUGCUCCAUCCUGGCCCUGUAAGGAUGUCCCCUCCUCCUGAUGUACCUCUUCUGUCCUACCCCAUGGCUGUAGCUUCACAGGGAAAAAACACAUUCUGUCCUGUACCACCCAGAUUGCUUGGAAGACCUAUACUUACCUCACACUUUUUAUUUUUUUUUAUGUUGCUAAAUAAAGCCCUCAGUACUUACCAAGAAUAAGUAGAAUUUAAUGGCAGGAUUAGUACUGCAAUGUUUAUAAAGGUCAAGAUAAGGAAGAGGUCCACAGCAGCACCCUCCCAACUUCAGGAGAACAAAAUCACAGCAGAGAAGGUGCUAAAGCAGAACUGAGGCUUGGUUAGCCCUGAAAUUCAAGGACAUCUGGAUCCAGAUAAAAAGCUGUGGUCAGCUUUCUUCUCUAAUAUGAACUGAAUUCAAACACCCUUGGACUUUGUGUUGAGCCAGUUCUGGAACCCAUCCCCCUCUCUAAUCUCUAUUGAUCUAUGCCCCUUUUUGUGUGUAGCUAAAUUAAGAGAAUUUGGCGUUCUAACAAAGUGGCUAAGCCAAACACUCAAAACUUGAGAAAUGCAAGAAUUUAAGUUGUUGCUGCAAAUUCAUUAUAGCCUUUGGGUGUAUGCAUUAUGGCAUUGUCUUUAAUCGCAGGCUCACAUACUAUAAAUGUAUGCUCUGUUUAAAGUG
Anas platyrhynchos (mallard) is the source of this 2828-nucleotide non-coding RNA. Lineage: Eukaryota; Metazoa; Chordata; Aves; Anseriformes; Anatidae. The record is from RefSeq and is a predicted model, not a curated record.